RNAcentral lists this transfer RNA (68 nucleotides) under Marmota monax (woodchuck). Its description in RNAcentral is "tRNA.Ala". The record is from RNAcentral. Lineage: Eukaryota; Metazoa; Chordata; Mammalia; Rodentia; Sciuridae.
GUUGUGGCUCAGUGGUACAGCACCUGCCUGGCAUGUGUGAGGCCCUGGGUUCAACCCUCAGCACCACA